This 391-nucleotide unclassified non-coding RNA is filed under the name soil metagenome. Its description in RNAcentral is "partial contains 5.8S ribosomal RNA, internal transcribed spacer 2, and large subunit ribosomal RNA". The stretch from base 1 to 122 matches the Rfam family "5.8S ribosomal RNA", at positions 35 to 154 of the family's 154-position model. The record is from RNAcentral.
GAUGAAGAACGCAGCGAAAUGCGAUACUUGGUGUGAAUUGCAGAAUCCCGUGAACCAUCGAGUCUUUGAACGCAAGUUGCGCCCGAAGCCAUUAGGCCGAGGGCACGCCUGCCUGGGCGUCACACGUCGUUGCCCCCCCAUCUACUCCUUCGGGAUUGCGGGGGGCGGAUGAUGGCCUCCCGAGCGCCUCGCCGCGCGGUUGGCAUAAAUGCCAAGUCCUCGGCGACGCACGCCACGACAAUCGGUGGUUGCGAAACCUCGGUUGCCCGUCGUGUGCGGUCGUCGCGCAUCGAGGGCUCGAAAAAAUUGCCGGGUUCCGGCUCGGCUUUCAACGCGACCCCAGGUCAGGCGGGGUUACCCGCUGAAUUUAAGCAUAUCAAUAAGCGGAGGA